CCUACGGGAGGCAGCAGUGAGGAAUAUUGGUCAAUGGACGAGAGUCUGAACCAGCCAAGUAGCGUGAAGGAUGACUGCCCUAUGGGUUGUAAACUUCUUUUAUAUGGGAAUAAAAUGUUCCACGUGUGGGAUUUUGUAUGUACCAUAUGAAUAAGCAUCGGCUAACUCCGUGCCAGCAGCCGCGGUAAUACGGAAGAUCCGAGCGUUAUCCGGAUUUAUUGGGUUUAAAGGGAGCGUAGGUGGAUUGUUAAGUCAGUUGUGAAAGUGUGCGGCUCAACCGUAAAAUUGCAAUUGAUACUGGAAGUCUUGAGUACAGAAGAGGUAGGCGGAAUACGUGGUGGAGCGGUGAAAUGCUUAGAUAUCACGAAGAACUCCGAUUGCGAAGGCAGCUCACUGGACUGCAACUGACACUGAGGCUCGAAAGUGUGGGUAUCAAACAGGAUUAGAUACCCCAGUAGUC
Molecule: ribosomal RNA, 460 nt
Filed under: uncultured bacterium
Lineage: Bacteria
Description: partial 16S ribosomal RNA
Rfam family: Bacterial small subunit ribosomal RNA
Source: RNAcentral